UAAACGAUGUCGACUUGGAGGCUGUUCCCCUGAGGAGUGGCUUCCGGAGCUAACGCGUUAAGUCGACCGCUGGGGAGUACGGCCGCAAGGUUAAAACUCAAAUGAAUUGACGGGGGCCCGCACAAGCGGUGGAGCAUGUGGUUUAAUUCGAUGCAACGCGAAGAACCUUACCUGGCCUUGACAUCCACGGAACUUGGCAGAGAUGCCUUGGUGCCUUCGGGAACCGUGAGACAGGUGCUGCAUGGCUGUCGUCAGCUCGUGUUGUGAAAUGUUGGGUUAAGUCCCGCAACGAGCGCAACCCUUAUCCUUUGUUGCCAGCGGUCCGGCCGGGAACUCAAAGGAGACUGCCAGUGAUAAACUGGAGGAAGGUGGGGAUGACGUCAAGUCAUCAUGGCCCUUACGGCCAGGGCUACACACGUGCUACAAUGGCGCAUACAAAGAGAAGCAACCUCGCGAGAGCAAGCGGACCUCAUAAAGUGCGUCGUAGUCCGGAUCGGAGUCUGCAACUCGACUCCGUGAAGUCGGAAUCGCUAGUAAUCGUAGAUCAGAAUGCUACGGUGAAUACGUUCCCGGGCCUUGUACACACCGCCCGUCACACCAUGGGAGUGGGUUGCAAAAGAAGUAGGUAGCUUAACCUUCGGGAGGGCGCUUACCACUUUGUGAUUCAUGACUGGGGUGAAGUCGUAACAAGGUAACCA
RNAcentral lists this ribosomal RNA (698 nucleotides) under uncultured Erwinia sp. RNAcentral's name for it is "bacterial SSU rRNA". It matches the Rfam family "Bacterial small subunit ribosomal RNA", at positions 803 to 1502 of the family's 1533-position model. Lineage: Bacteria; Pseudomonadati; Pseudomonadota; Gammaproteobacteria; Enterobacterales; Erwiniaceae. The record is from RNAcentral.